CAGCCGCCACGGGAAUACGUAGGGUGCAAGCGUUACUCGGAAUUACUGGGCGUAAAGCGUGCGUAGGUGGUGGUUUAAGUCCGUUGUGAAAGCCCUGGGCUCAACCUGGGAAUUGCAGUGGAUACUGGGUCACUAGAGUGUGGUAGAGGAUAGUGGAAUUUCCGGUGUAGCAGUGAAAUGCGUAGAGAUCGGAAGGAACAUCUGUGGCGAAGGCGACUAUCUGGGCCAACACUGACACUGAGGCACGAAAGCGUGGGGAGCAAACAGGAUUAGAUACCCGCGUAGUCCCUGUCUCUUAUAA
This 301-nucleotide ribosomal RNA is filed under the name uncultured bacterium. Its description in RNAcentral is "partial 16S ribosomal RNA". It matches the Rfam family "Bacterial small subunit ribosomal RNA", at positions 509 to 809 of the family's 1533-position model. The record is from RNAcentral.